GCGAGCGUUGUCCGGAAUUAUUGGGCGUAAAGAGCUCGUAGGCGGUGUGUCGCGUCGGCCGUGAAAACCUGCAGCUUAACUGUGGGCUUGCGGUCGAUACGGGCAUCACUGGAGUUCGGCAGGGGAGACUGGAAUUCCUGGUGUAGCGGUGAAAUGCGCAGAUAUCAGGAGGAACACCGGUGGCGAAGGCGGGUCUCUGGGCCGAUACUGACGCUGAGGAGCGAAAGCGUGGGGAGCGAACAGG
RNAcentral lists this ribosomal RNA (244 nucleotides) under uncultured bacterium. Its description in RNAcentral is "partial 16S ribosomal RNA". It matches the Rfam family "Bacterial small subunit ribosomal RNA", at positions 534 to 776 of the family's 1533-position model. The record is from RNAcentral.